AUGCGCCUUGCCAGCCCGCUCAGAAACUCAAAGGAAUUGACGGGGGCCCGGCACAAGCGGAGGAACAUGUGGUUUAAUUCGAUGAUACGCGAGGAACCUUACCUGGGCUUAAAGUGGGGAGUGACAGCUGUCGAAAGAUGGUUUUCUUCGGACACUCUUCAAGGUGCUGCAUGGUUGUCGUCAGCUCGUGCCGUGAGGUGUCGGGUUAAGUCCCAUAACGAGCGCAACCCUUACCGUUAGUUACCAUCAGGUUAAGCUGGGGACUCUAGCGGGACUGCCACCGUAAGGUGAGAGGAAGGUGGGGAUGACGUCAAAUCAGCACGGCCCUUAUGUCCAGGGCUACACACGUGUUACAAUGGCCGGUACAAAGGGCAGCUACUUCGCGAGAAGAUGCUAAUCUCGAAAGCCGGUCUCAGUUCGGAUCGAAGUCUGCAACCCGACUUCGUGAAGCUGGAUUCGCUAGUAAUCGCGCAUCAGCCAUGGCGCGGUGAAUACGUUCCCGGGCCUU
This 508-nucleotide ribosomal RNA is filed under the name uncultured Sphingobacteriales bacterium. Its description in RNAcentral is "bacterial SSU rRNA". It matches the Rfam family "Bacterial small subunit ribosomal RNA", at positions 903 to 1382 of the family's 1533-position model. The record is from RNAcentral. Lineage: Bacteria; Pseudomonadati; Bacteroidota; Sphingobacteriia; Sphingobacteriales.